RNAcentral lists this ribosomal RNA (469 nucleotides) under Aegla grisella. RNAcentral's name for it is "partial 16S large subunit ribosomal RNA". It matches the Rfam family "Bacterial large subunit ribosomal RNA", at positions 1932 to 2601 of the family's 2925-position model. Lineage: Eukaryota; Metazoa; Arthropoda; Malacostraca; Decapoda; Aeglidae. The record is from RNAcentral.
CGCGGUAUUUUGACUGUGCGAAGGUAGCAUAAUCAUUUGUCUUUUAAUUGAAGACUUGUAUGAAUGGUUGAACGAGAAAAUAACUGUCUCUUUAAAAAAUCUUGAAUUUUACUUUUAAGUGAAAAGGCUUAAAUAAUUUUAAGGGACGAUAAGACCCUAUAAAUCUUUAUAUUAUUUUUCUUUAAAUUUCAAAUUAUAUAUUAAAAGAAAAUAAAGAAAAAAAUAUUGUAUUGGGGAGAUAAAAAUAUAAUUUUUUAACUGUUUUAAAUAUAAAACAAUAAUUUUUGAUUUAUUAAAAAUUGAUCCUUUUUUAAAGAUUUUAAGAUUAAGUUACUUUAGGGAUAACAGCGUAAUUUUUUUUGAGAGUUCUUAUCGAAAAAAAAGUUUGCGACCUCGAUGUUGAAUUAAAAUAUCCUUAUAAGUGCAGAAGCUAUAAAGGAAAGUCUGUUCGACUUUUAAAAUUUUACAU